ACAGAUGGCCGAGCGGUUAAGGCGCUAGCUUAAGGUACCCUCCUCGGAGGCACUGUACGCUAGUUCGAAAGAGCGUGGGUUCGAUUCCCACUCUGU
This 96-nucleotide transfer RNA is filed under the name Cryoendolithus antarcticus. Its description in RNAcentral is "Rachicladosporium antarcticum tRNA". It matches the Rfam family "tRNA". Rfam says of the family: Transfer RNA (tRNA) molecules are approximately 80 nucleotides in length. Their secondary structure includes four short double-helical elements and three loops (D, anti-codon, and T loops). Lineage: Eukaryota; Fungi; Ascomycota; Dothideomycetes; Cladosporiales; Cladosporiaceae. The record is from Rfam by way of RNAcentral.